AUUGAACGCUGGCGGCAGGCCUAACACAUGCAAGUCGAACGAGUGGCGGACGGGUGAGCAAUGUCUGGGAAACUGCCUGAUGGAGGGGGCAAACUACUGGAAACGGUAGCUAAUACCGCAUACUAUCAGAUCAGCCUAGGUCGGAUUAGCUAGUUGGUGGGGUAAAGGCCCACCAGGGCGACGCGCCGUAACUGGUCUGAGAGGAUGAUCAGUCACACUGGAACUGGGACACGGUCCAGACUCCUACGGGAGGCAGCAGGGGGGAAUAUUGGACAAUGGGCGAAAGCCUGAGCCAGCCAUGCCGCGUGAGUGAAGAGGGUCUUCGGAUUGUAAAGUACUUUCAGCGGGGAAGCGUUACCCGCAGAAGAAGCACCGGCGAACUCCGUGCCAGCCGCCGCGGUAAUAC
RNAcentral lists this ribosomal RNA (406 nucleotides) under uncultured bacterium. RNAcentral describes it as "partial 16S ribosomal RNA". It matches the Rfam family "Bacterial small subunit ribosomal RNA", at positions 29 to 526 of the family's 1533-position model. The record is from RNAcentral.